AUUGAACGCUGGCGGCAGGCCUAACACAUGCAAGUCGAACGAGUGGCGGACGGGUGAGUAAUGUCUGGGAAACUGCCUGAUGGAGGGGGAUAACUACUGGAAACGGUAGCUAAUACCGCAUACCAUCAGAUGUGCCCAGAUGGGUUUAGUGUGUUGGUGGGGUAACGGCUCCCCAAGCAGACGAUCCCUAGCUGGUCUGAGAGGAUGACCAGCCACACUGGGACUGAGACACGGCCCAGACUCCUACGGGAGGCAGCAGUGGGGAAUAUUGGACAAUGGGCGAAAGCCUGAUGCAGCCAUGCCGCGUGUAUGAUGAAGGCCUUCGGGUUGUAAAGUACUUUCAGCAGGGAGGCGUUACCCGCAGAAUAAGCACCGGCUAACUCCGUGCCAGCAGCCGCGGUAAUAC
Molecule: ribosomal RNA, 406 nt
Filed under: uncultured bacterium
Lineage: Bacteria
Description: partial 16S ribosomal RNA
Rfam family: Bacterial small subunit ribosomal RNA
Source: RNAcentral